ACGUGAGGAAUCUGCCUUCAACACUGGGAUAACUCCGGGAAACCGGGGCUAAUACCGGAUACGAGACCUGCAGGCAUCUGCGGGUCUGGAAAGUUUUUCGGUUGAAGAUGACCUCGCGGCCUAUCAGCUUGUUGGUGAGGUAAUGGCUCACCAAGGCGACGACGGGUAGCCGGCCUGAGAGGGCGACCGGCCACACUGGGACUGAGACACGGCCCAGACUCCUACGGGAGGCAGCAGUGGGGAAUAUUGGGCAAUGGAGGGAACUCUGACCCAGCGACGCCGCGUGCGGGAUGAAGGCCUUCGGGUUGUAAACCGCUUUCAGCAAGGAAGAAGCGAAAGUGACGGUACUUGCAGAAGAAGCACCGGCUAACUAUGUGCCAGCAGCCGCGGUAAUACAUAGGGUGCAAGCGUUGUCCGGAAUUAUUGGGCGUAAAGAGCUCGUAGGUGGUUCGUCACGUCGGAUGUGAAAAUCUGGGGCUUAACCCCAGACCUGCAUUCGAUACGGGCGAGCUAGAGUGUGGUAGGGGAGACUGGAAUUCCUGGUGUAGCGGUGGAAUGCGCAGAUAUCAGGAGGAACACCAAUGGCGAAGGCAGGUCUCUGGGCCAUUACUGACACUGAGGAGCGAAAGCGUGGGGAGCGAACAGGAUUAGAUACCCUGGUAGUCCACGCCGUAAACGGUGGGCACUAGUUGUGGGAACCUUCCACGGUUUCUGCGACGCAGCUAACGCAUUAAGUGCCCCGCCUGGGGAGUACGAUCGCAAGAUUAAAACUCAAAGGAAUUGACGGGGCCCCGCACAAGC
This 801-nucleotide ribosomal RNA is filed under the name uncultured organism. RNAcentral's name for it is "bacterial SSU rRNA". It matches the Rfam family "Bacterial small subunit ribosomal RNA", at positions 115 to 930 of the family's 1533-position model. The record is from RNAcentral.